ACGGGUGCGUAACGCGUGGGAAUCUGCCCCUUGGUUCGGAAUAACAGUUGGAAACGACUGCUAAUACCGGAUGAUGACGAAAGUCCAAAGAUUUAUCGCCAAGGGAUGAGCCCGCGUAGGAUUAGCUAGUUGGCGAGGUAAAGGCUCACCAAGGCAACGAUCCUUAGCUGGUCUGAGAGGAUGAUCAGCCACACUGGGACUGAGACACGGCCCAGACUCCUACGGGAGGCAGCAGUAGGGAAUAUUGGACAAUGGGCGAAAGCCUGAUCCAGCAAUGCCGCGUGAGUGAUGAAGGCCUUAGGGUUGUAAAGCUCUUUUACCCGAGAUGAUAAUGACAGUAUCGGGAGAAUAAGCCCCGGCUAACUCCGUGCCAGCAGCCGCGGUAAUACGGAGGGGGCUAGCGUUGUUCGGAAUUACUGGGCGUAAAGCGCACGUAGGCGGUUAUUCAAGUCAGAGGUGAAAGCCCAGUGCUCAACACUGGAACUGCCUUUGAAACUAGAUAGCUUGAAUCCAGGAGAGGUGAGUGGAAUUCCGAGUGUAGAGGUGAAAUUCGUAGA
This 557-nucleotide ribosomal RNA is filed under the name Sphingomonadaceae bacterium BvORHM069. Its description in RNAcentral is "bacterial SSU rRNA". It matches the Rfam family "Bacterial small subunit ribosomal RNA", at positions 102 to 694 of the family's 1533-position model. RNAcentral also lists the same sequence under 2 other names. Lineage: Bacteria; Pseudomonadati; Pseudomonadota; Alphaproteobacteria; Sphingomonadales; Sphingomonadaceae. The record is from RNAcentral.